This 3155-nucleotide long non-coding RNA is filed under the name Homo sapiens (human). RNAcentral describes it as "HSALNT0072323". The record is from RNAcentral. Lineage: Eukaryota; Metazoa; Chordata; Mammalia; Primates; Hominidae.
UGUGGCGAAAGUAAUUCUAGGCAACUACUUGGUUUCUGAAGUUCAAGGAGAAACCACCCACAGCAGGUGCAGAGAAAAAAAGGCAGGUGGGAGUUGCUCCCGAUGGGAAAGAGCUCCCUGCCUAUGAGUGGCAGCCGGCUCCAAGGAGCAGAAGCCAGCUUGGUCUCAGUUUGCUGCGAAGGGAUGGAGCAGGAACCACGAAAUCCUGCAAGCUUUGAAGGCCGGCGAAAGGGCUCCCCCGUCGGUGGCGCCGGAGGGAGAAGCGUUUAGUCACUGUUUCAUUAGGCACUAUUUGAACCUUGCAACAUGUGGUAAUUUCUGGGGCAAGCUGAAAAGGGGGGAUUAUGUAGGAGGGACAUAAGGAAAUUAGCCAACGGUUAAUUUAACUCGUUUUCUGCUAGACUUUUCGAUACAUUCCUAAUUGACUGAGGGGCAGGUGAAGCUCCCGCCCCAUGCAGGCUCAUUCACGGUGGGAAUAAAUGGCUCUUUCUCAACUCACACUGCUCACAAUAUAUCAUCAGGGAAAAGACAUGCAAUGAAUAUGUUGAUUUUUUUUAUUAAUGGAAUUACACCCUGCCAUGCAGGUGUGAGGGUAAAAACCUAUACUGCAAUGAAAUAAGAUUAACAAUGAAAUUAGAAUUUUAUUAGCUUUAUAUGUCACACAGACCUGGAUUUGAACUGUCAAAACAAGCAACAAGAAAAGAUAUUCUGAACGCAGCCCUGUCAAUCAACCAGGAGAAACGAACAGCGUGGUAUCGAAAUCAUAAUCACCUUCCAGUUCUUCAGCGCCUCACUUGGGCCUUACGUGAGAAGCAAGUGGGUGGAGGACCCCGCGUGGGCAAAGGCCUGGUCUCUGGACCUGCAGAUAGUAGAUGAAAAACACCACCUGGGUUCGGUAGACCCGGCCUAAAAAAGGCUCGGGUCCAGGCUAGAAGGGCCUGGAUGGCCCGAGGCCUCCAAGAUAUCAGACGGACCGGCUGGGCACCCGCGGCCUGCAGGCCAUAUUUCGCGUCCUCCAAAUCAGCUGCCUAGGGCGGGCCGUGACCCGAGGGAAUUGGAGAGAAAAGUCCAAACGCUGGGCGAGAGGCGGGGUAGGGCGCCCUUUGGAAACCGCCCUGGGUUUUGUUACUCCGGGGCCCCCGGAGCUUCGGCACAGCUACCUGGGUCUGGCAGGCGCAGAGGUGCCGUAUGCAAAUGGUUCACUAUUAGGCGAGAAAGAAAUACUUCAAAUGGCCCUUUGUAACCUUCUAUAGAAAAUCGAGGUACUCUGCAUGACAAAGCACAAUUAAGCUUUCUAUUCAGGAGUUCUGCAGCUGGUAGCCCAUUGGGAAAGUGGGAGGAAACGCGAAUAUAUUAAUAGUGUGGCGAAAGUUUUUUGUGUGCGUGUCCUUUUCUAGGUCGGGGGUGGGGAGGGGCGGUGGGUGGACGCAGAGGGAGGAAGGCUCAGCCUUGGAUCCUUGCCACCUGAACAACGUCGCCUCUGCCCACGUGGAAAGCCUCGCUUGUCUGGCAGCCGGGGUUCUGAAUGGUUGCCGCGACCCCUGCGCUCCCAGCAGGGCCAAGAGGACCUCGCGGGCACCAGCGUCCGGGCGGGAAGGGACGUGUGCCCAAGCCUCGCCUCCUGGCCCUCAGUGGGCUGGGACGCCCUUGAUCACCGGCGCAGGAAAGAGGCUCCCCAGCCCGUGAGCUUCGUCCGGGCGCCAGGGCAGGGAUGGCUGGUGGUGUGCACUGGAGAGCACGACGGUGACGCUGCGUGGGAAAGAGACGUGGGAAGGGCAUAGCCGGAUUAUCCACUCAGCUCCAAUUUUCUCCAAGCGCCACUCACCCCACAGUUGAGGUUCGCUUCCCGAUUGUUCAUUUGUAGAGUCUAAAGGGAAAGAAAAUUUUGCCUCUGAAUAAAUAAAGGGCCCUUAAAAACAACUCUGCUGAUUAUCCUGCGUUUUCCAUCUGGAUCCAUUUCGCCCUCUUCUGCCCUGCUGGGUGCCCUCGGACACUGACCUUUGUGGACAGUAUUAGUUCCUUUAUCAACUGCGUCACUGGCAGGCGCUUGCCUCUGGCUUCCAUUUGCAUUUGGUGAAUAAGUGGCACUGCAAAUAACCGAACAACCUAAGGAUAGAGAACUGCAGUUCCAAAGGUGGGAAAGUUCAAGAUCAAGGCACCAGCAUUGGUAUUUUGUGAGGGCUGCUGUCUGCUCCCAAGACGUCACCAUGUUGCUGUGUUCUCAAGUGGUGGAAGGCGGAAGAGCAAGAGAGCAAAAAGGACCUAAGCUAGUUCACUCCAUUCAUGAGGGCAGAUCCCCCAGGACCUAAUCACUUCCCAGGAGGUCCCAGCUCUUCUCAGGCCAUCCUCCUACCUUGGCCUCCCAAAGCACUGGGAUUACAGAUAUGAACCACCACGCCUGGCCACUGGUAGUUAAUUUCUUUUUUUAAAAAAAUUAUUAUGUUAAAACUUUUGUGGGUACAUAGUAACUGUAUAUAUUUAUGGGGUACAUGACAUAGGCAUGCGAUAAGCAAUAAUCACAUCAUGGAAAAUGAGGUAUCCAUCCCCUCAAGCAUUUAUCCUUUGUAUUACAGACAAUCCAAUUACACUCUUAGAUAUUUUUAAAUGUACAGUUAAAUAUCAUUGACUAUAAUCACUCUUUUGUGCUAUCAAAUACUAGGUCUUACUCAUUCUUUCUAACUGUAUACACUUUUUGUUCCCACUAACCAUCCGCAGGCUGGGCGGAGUGGCUCACUCCUGUAAUCCCAGCACUUUGGGAGGCCCAGGCAGGCAGAUCACUUGAGGCCAAGAAUUCAAGACCAGCCUGGCCAACAUGGCGAAAUCUUAUCUCUGCUAAAAAUACAAAAAUUAGCAGGUGUAGUGGUGGGUGCCUGUAACCCCAGCUACUUGGGACACUGAGGCAUGAGAACUGCUCGAAGCUGGGAGGUGGAGGCUGCAGUGAGCCAAGAUCAUGCCACUGCACUCCAGCCUGUGACAGUGUGUGACUCUGUCUCAAAACAAAAACAAAAACCAUCUCCGCUUACCCCCAACCCCUCACUACCCUUCCCAGCCUCUGGUAACUAUCCUUCUACUCUCUAUCUCCACAAGUUCAAUUGUACUGAUUUUUACCACCCACAAAUAAGUAAGAACAUGUGAAGUUUGUCUUUCUGUGUCUG